AUCAUGCUCUACUAUCUACAGGUCUGUGUAAAAAAUGGAAUUUAAGUCAUUUAUCGUGUCAUGAUUCUAGGUCUUCUUCUGUUUCUUCAUUCUAUAACCGUUCCUUCAAAAGUGGUCUGUAGAAACAUAUGGUGUCUGCAGAUGUGUACUAAUUUUGUUUGAAUACUCUCGAAGCACUUUCGCAUAUUACGUUUUUCGAUUACUUGUUCUAAAAUAUUUGUUCAAGUUCUUCUCACUAUUCAACUUAUAUCGUAUCCACGUUUCCGUGGUUUUCAGUUCGUAUUGGUCCGUGGCUCU
Cinara cedri is the source of this 297-nucleotide non-coding RNA. The record is from the annotation of a GenBank genome assembly. NCBI's taxonomy places the organism in Eukaryota, Metazoa, Arthropoda, Insecta, Hemiptera, Aphididae.